UGGUGACUUACAACCAUGCAGGACUCCAGUUCCAGAUCUGACCCCCUCAUCUGACCUCCACAGGUACCAGGCACACAUGCACACACACAUACAAGCAAAGCACUCAUACACAUAAAAUAAGUAAUCAUAAAACCCUAUUUUUAACAGACUGAAACAUCAACUUUGCUCUGUGAGUUACAUCUCAUCAACAAAGCAGCAAAGCCGUUGACAUUUGAGUGAGUUUCUGCUUGGACUAGGUAAUCCUCUCAGUCAGAUGUGUAGUCACCCGUGUUAGUUUCGGUGCCGAGCCUGGCUCCCCCAUCCCCUUGUGUCUAUUUUAAUAGGCAGCUGGGUUACCACACAGAAUUCUGAGCCCGAGAACUGGAUUCCUUCCCUCACUCUGUACUUACUGCUUCUGUUAACGUCAGAGGAAGGACAGAAGGACCAAACGGCUAGAACCUCUCAAUCUGCUCCUCGCAGCGAGAAAAGGAGGAAAUGAGAGAAGGAAGGAGGCAAGUUACAUGGGAUUUGGGGCCUCGAACCUGCUGAGUCCCCAUUGUCUCUUCUGGAUUCUGCUGCAGUUGGGAUCCACUUAAGACAAAACAGAUACAAAGUAUCAAAAUCGCCAAGACGGAAGCUCCCAGCCUUACUUAAGGCAAGUGAUGGACUACUCUCUCCCAACAGCUUGUGGUCGAGGGCUUCAAUGAACCCCUCCUCUUAGAAAGUACGUUCACCUCUUCACCAUUCCUUCCCCCGCCCCCGCCCCCACCCAUACGUUGGCAGCCCCGCUGCGCUCCCCAAAGGUAACCACUUCCUUCUGCUUCAGCUUGGUGUGCCUGAAACUGCUAGUACAAUUUCUGCUGAAGGUAUCCCUCAGUCCAGUUUUCCUGGCUUCCUAAUUGUACUCCCCUUUUCACACCCCCACCCCCAUCCCCCAAAACGAUGGUCUUUCAUCCAGACCUCUCUUACCCGUUU
Molecule: long non-coding RNA, 954 nt
Organism: Peromyscus maniculatus bairdii (prairie deer mouse)
Lineage: Eukaryota; Metazoa; Chordata; Mammalia; Rodentia; Cricetidae
Source: RefSeq, a predicted model, not a curated record